Molecule: ribosomal RNA, 253 nt
Filed under: uncultured bacterium
Lineage: Bacteria
Description: partial 16S ribosomal RNA
Rfam family: Bacterial small subunit ribosomal RNA
Source: RNAcentral
UACAGAGGUCCCGAGCGUUGUUCGGAUUCACUGGGCGUAAAGGGUGCGCAGGUGGGUUGGCAAGUUUGAUGUGAAAGCCCCGGGCUUAACCCGGGAAAGGCAUUGAAUACUGCUGAUCUGGAGGAUCGGAGGGGGACUGGAAUUCUUGGUGUAGCAGUGAAAUGCGUAGAUAUCAAGAGGAACACCAGUGGCGAAGGCGAGUCCCUGGACGAUGACCUGACACUGAGGCACGAAAGCCAAGGGAGCAAACAGG